Molecule: long non-coding RNA, 788 nt
Filed under: Trifolium pratense (red clover)
Lineage: Eukaryota; Viridiplantae; Streptophyta; Magnoliopsida; Fabales; Fabaceae
Description: long non-coding RNA (TPRA_LNC008998)
Source: RNAcentral
CACUACUACAAUUUUGCUUUACAAUAGCGCCUAUUUAAUAGCGCUUUUUGUGAAAACGCUAUUAAAAAUCGCAAAGAGAUACCUAUAAUAGCGGUUUCUUGUCGGGCGCUAUUAUAGGUGACCCUUACAAUAGCGAUUUACCUAGAAGCGUUGUUAUAGCUUACUGACAAAAUUUUAUAGGAGUUUAUGAUAGCGCUUUCUUUUAAAUCGCUAUUAUAACUGUAUUCCUAUGUUAGCGCUUUACUUGAAAACGCUAUUAUAGGUGUUUCUAGUUUUUUAGUUGACUUAAAAAUAUAGUAAUAAUUAAGCGAACAUAACCUUCUUUUGAACCCUGAACCCUUUUCUUCUUCUUCACUCGGUUUCUUACCUCACCCAAAAACCUCCUUCAUCAACACUUAUAUCAUUUCAAUCAAAAUUCCUUCCAAACCCAGAAUCCUCAACCUCAAUCCCGAACUCGUUGAAAUCCUAAACCCCAAAAUCUUAGAACUUGUUGAAACCAUAAUUCAUAACGCAGAACUCGCUGAAACCCUAAAACCCUCUUCCCCCAUCAUUCACCAUCGUCCAUCGUUCCAGAACUCGUUGAACCCAGAAAAUCUUCAUCGUUCUCCAUCAUUCAUUGCAAUCGAACCUGGUCUCAUCAAAACGUCUUUAGGUAUUUGGGUUUAUCUUAUUCUUCUUCUGCGUCUUCUGUAGCGAAAACUAGUUUCACUUCUCUGCUUUAAAUCACACGUUAUUUUUCCCCUGUUUUAUGAUUGUUGCAUUCACAGUUUCGUUGUUGAAUAAAAACC